RNAcentral lists this unclassified non-coding RNA (378 nucleotides) under uncultured bacterium. RNAcentral describes it as "contains 16S-23S intergenic spacer region". The record is from RNAcentral.
UCCGGCUUAACGCCGGCAGUCUCCCUAGAGUGCCCAACUUAAUGGUGGCAACUAAGGACGAGGGUUGCGCUCGUUGCGGGACUUAACCCAACACCUCACGGCACGAGCUGACGACAGCCAUGCAGCACCUGAACCGGCGGUCCCCGAAGGGAAGCCCUGUUUCCAGAGCGGUCAGGAACAUGUCAAGCCCAGGUAAGGUUCUUCGCGUUGCCUCGAAUUAAACCACACGCUCCGCUGCUUGUGCGGGCCCCCGCCUAUUCCUUUGAGUUUUAAUCUUGCGACCGUACUCCCCAGGCGGAUGACUUCACGCGUUAGCUGCGUUACUAAAGGAUUUAACUCCUCCAACAACUAGUCAUCAUCGUUUAGGGCGUGGACUAC